AUGACCCUGAGGAUGAGCAUAGACUGCAACGGGUGCUACCAGAAGAUCAGGAGGGCGCUGCUCCAGAUGCAAGAACUGGAGAGCCACCUGAUCGACCGGAAGCGUGAGCGUCUGGGGCGCCUUCAGCUGAGUAUACAGAAUUGUUCAUGGCUUGCUGAAUGUGGAAGGAUUGCAUCAAAUCGGUCUACCCCAAACAUACCAAGAUUGGACAGCGAAAACGUCCCUAUACAUCAGCAGAUCUCCAUGUGUAAGAAGGCCGCCCUCGAUGGCAACCGCCACCGCAAUGUUGAUACUACUGUUGUAACUGAAGCUCUUUCCAUCCCUGCAGCUGGCAUUCACAACUGGGUGCUGAGCAAGUGCCAUGCCUGCCGCUUUCACCAGCAACAAUGUUUUUGUAACCCCUUUCAACUUAACCUGCACAACCCAUUUUAA
Molecule: ribosomal RNA, 432 nt
Filed under: Triticum aestivum (bread wheat)
Lineage: Eukaryota; Viridiplantae; Streptophyta; Magnoliopsida; Poales; Poaceae
Description: partial small subunit ribosomal RNA
Source: RNAcentral